ACAUUCGUCAAGGGGGAGUAGCGUUAGCCUUUUUGGAGGCUAAGAUAAAGUCGUCAUUACAUGAAUUCGUUCAUCGGCUUUAUUAACAUUUUAUACAAUGUCAGCGAGACCUUUGCCAAUUUGGGCAGGGGUCUCGUUUUUUGUUGUUUGAAAGCAGACGCUU
Molecule: small RNA, 163 nt
Filed under: unidentified
Description: Listeriaceae bacterium Manganese sequence
Rfam family: Manganese Mn2+ riboswitch aptamer (yybP-ykoY)
About the family: This RNA was originally discovered in E. coli during a large scale screen and was named SraF. The family was later found to exist upstream of related families of protein genes in many bacteria, including the the yybP and ykoK genes in B. subtilis.
Source: RNAcentral